GAACGCACCUUGCGCCCUUUGGCUAUUCUGGCGGGCAUGCCUGUUCGAGCGUCAUUUCAACCAUCAAGCCCUAGGCUUGCGUUGGAGCCCUGCGGCCGCCGCAGCCUCCCAAAACCAGUGGCGGGCUCGCUAUUACACCGAGUGCAGUAGUUUACUCUUCGCUCAGGUCGUGUGGCGGGUGCUAGCCGUAAAACCCCCUACUUCUUAAGGUUGACCUCGGAUCAGGUAGGAAUACCCGCUGAACUUAAG
Molecule: unclassified non-coding RNA, 249 nt
Filed under: uncultured Podospora
Lineage: Eukaryota; Fungi; Ascomycota; Sordariomycetes; Sordariales; Lasiosphaeriaceae
Description: sequence contains 5.8S rRNA gene
Source: RNAcentral